AUGAACCUAUUUGAAGUGGCCCAUUUCAUACCAGAAAAGCCCAUGUAUGAACAAGGGUUGAUUUUACUUCCACAGUUAGCUACUCUAGGUUGGGAGUAGGGCCAAGGGGAAGUUCUAGAUACUUUUCCGUAAUUUGUAUCUGGCGUACUUCACAUAAUUUCCUCCGCAGUCUUAGGCUUCGGUAGCAUUUAUCACGCGCUUCUGGGACCCAAGACUCUUGAGGAAUCUUUUCCAUUCUUUGGUUAUGUCUGGAAAGAUAGAAAUAAAAUGACUACAAUUUUGGGUAUUCACUUAAUUUUGUAAGGUCUAGGUGCUUUUCUUCUAGUACUCAAGGAUCUUUAUUUUGGCGGUGUAUAUGAUACCUGGUCCCCUGGGGGAGAUGUAAGAAAAAUUACCAAUUUGACCCUUAGUCCCAGUGUUAUAUUUGGUUAUUUACUAAAAUCUCCUUUUGGUGGAGAAGGGUGGAUUGUUAGUGUAGAUGAUUUAGAAGAUACAAUUGUUGGGCAUGUAUGGUUGGGUUUUAUUUGUGUAUUUGGCGGAAUUUGGCAUAUUUUAACCAAACCCUUCGCAUGGGCUCGCCGUGCAUUUGUAUGGUCUGGAGAAGCAUACUUGUCUUAUAGUUUAGCUGGUCUAACGUAA
This 639-nucleotide ribosomal RNA is filed under the name Triticum aestivum (bread wheat). Its description in RNAcentral is "partial small subunit ribosomal RNA". The record is from RNAcentral. Lineage: Eukaryota; Viridiplantae; Streptophyta; Magnoliopsida; Poales; Poaceae.